This 370-nucleotide ribosomal RNA is filed under the name uncultured bacterium. RNAcentral's name for it is "bacterial SSU rRNA". It matches the Rfam family "Bacterial small subunit ribosomal RNA", at positions 28 to 405 of the family's 1533-position model. The record is from RNAcentral.
GACGAACGCUGGCGGCGUGCCUAAAACAUGCAAGUCGAACGGUGUAGCAAUACACAGUGGCGAACGGCGGAGUAAUACAUAAGCAACGUGCCCUGAAGACUGGGAUAGUCAGAGGAAACUCUGGGUAAUACCAGAUGUGGUCCCUUUCCGGCAUCGGAGAGUGAUUAAAUGGUUUUUCGCUUCUGGAGCGGCUUAUGGCCUAUCAGGUAGUUGGUGAGGUAACGGCUCACCAAGCCGACGACGGGUAGCGGGUCUGAGGAGGAUGAUCCGCUCGAGGUGGGACUGAGACACGGCCCACACACCUACGGGUGGCAGCAGUUGGGAAUCUUGCACAAGUGGGGGAAACCCUGAUGCAGCGACGCCGCGUGGA